This 460-nucleotide ribosomal RNA is filed under the name uncultured bacterium. RNAcentral describes it as "partial 16S ribosomal RNA". It matches the Rfam family "Bacterial small subunit ribosomal RNA", at positions 338 to 795 of the family's 1533-position model. The record is from RNAcentral.
CCUACGGGUGGCAGCAGUGAGGAAUAUUGGUCAAUGGACGAGAGUCUGAACCAGCCAAGUAGCGUGAAGGAUGACUGCCCUAUGGGUUGUAAACUUCUUUUAUAUGGGAAUAAAAUGUUCCACGUGUGGGAUUUUGUAUGUACCAUAUGAAUAAGGAACGGCUAACUCCGUGCCAGCAGCCGCGGUAAUACGGAGGAUCCGAGCGUUAUCCGGAUUUAUUGGGUUUAAAGGGAGCGUAGGUGGAUUGUUAAGUCAGUUGUGAAAGUUUGCGGCUCAACCGUAAAAUUGCAGUUGAAACUGGCAGUCUUGAGUACAGUAGAGGUGGGCGGAAUUCGUGGUGUAGCGGUGAAAUGCUUAGAUAUCACGAAGAACUCCGGUUGCGAAGGCAGUUCACUGGACUGCAACUGACACUGAGGCUCGAAAGUGUGGGUAUCAAACAGGAUUAGAUACCCCAGUAGUC